This 642-nucleotide ribosomal RNA is filed under the name uncultured marine eukaryote. RNAcentral's name for it is "SSU rRNA". It matches the Rfam family "Eukaryotic small subunit ribosomal RNA", at positions 616 to 1257 of the family's 1831-position model. The record is from RNAcentral.
UGGUUAAAAAGCUCGUAGUUGGAUCUCGGCGGUCUGAGGGCGGUUCGCUUGAUUGAGUGCUACUGCUCUAUAGGCCGUGGUUUUGUCAGAGGUCUCGGGGUGCUCUUAACCGAGUGUCCUGCGAUGCUGGCAGGUUUACUUUGAAAAAAUUAGAGUGCUCAAAGCAGGCUUUUACGCCUGAAUAUUCGUGCAUGGAAUAAUAGAAUAGGAAGUCGUUUCUAUUUUGUUGGUUUUCGGAAAUCGACUUAAUGAUUAAUAGGGACAGUCGGGGGCAUUUGUAUUCAAACGACAGAGGUGAAGUUCUUGGACCGUUUGAAGACAAACUACUGCGAAAGCAUUUGCCAAGAAUGUUUUCAUUAAUCAAGAACGAAAGUUAGAGGUUCGAAGGCGAUUAGAUACCGCCCUAGUUCUAACCAUAAACGAUGCCAGCUAGCGAUCUGCCGACGUUUUCUUUGUAGACUCGGCAGGAAGCUUCCGGGAAACCAAAGCAUUUGGGUUCCAGGGGAAGUAUGGUUGCAAAGCUGAAACUUAAGGGAAUUGACGGAAGGGCACCACCAGGGGUGGAGCCUGUGGCUCCCCCCGACUCAACACGGGAAAUCUCACCAGGCCCGGACACUGGAAGGAUUGACAGAUUGAUAGCUC